Non-coding RNA from Arachis ipaensis, 2914 nucleotides. Lineage: Eukaryota; Viridiplantae; Streptophyta; Magnoliopsida; Fabales; Fabaceae. The record is from RefSeq and is a predicted model, not a curated record.
UAGAAUUUUGUAUUUGAGUGUGUGUGAAUCCUAGUGCAUGAAAAGUCAAUUUUGUGAUCUAGAAAAAUAGUGAGUGACUACACAACGUCUACAAAAGAAAACGAGGAAUAGAGAGAUCUGAAUCCACCUGUUAACGUGGAGGAGGACUUGGUGAUAGCGGAGGAAGAGGAUGUUAAGGAGGGUUUGGAGGACUGCUCAAGAAGUUUGAUAGGGCGAAUUGUUGCGGAUAAAGGUUUGGGCAUUGGAACAUUGGAAGGAGCCUUUACUGUAAUUUGGAACCAUCCUGAAGGUUUUCGGAUCAAGCCACAUGAGGUGGAGGAGUGAUCUGAAGGCAACAAGCAUGGACUCGAGAGUAGAAGAAGCCAAGGAGAACAACAAUCCAAACUCUGAAAGAAGCAAGGGAAGAGCUUAUCAAUUUGGUAAGAGACCAACCGCAGUAAGUCUUUUACAUAAUUUUGCUAAACUAUCAAUCUCAGACAGGAAUAAGAUUCAGAGUUCGAUACAAAUGUGGAGAGUGUUGCUCUUCAAAAUACUACUGACCGAAGCCAACAAUGAGAUAAGACUACGCUGACUUCCACAGUAAACAAAAACAAUGUCAUGUCCACCCCUGAACGAGAUGCAAAAGGAAAGAUGGUAAAGUUUGAUGGUUUCCAAAUGGGUGCAACAGAAGAAAACUUUGGAAAUAAAAAGAAGAAACCAAAGAAUAAACACCUAGCAAGGAACCCUCAACUAGGUGAGAACAACAAUAGUGUCAUUGGAGUGAAAAGGAGGACUGAGGAGUGCGAGGGAGGAGGUUUUCUGGAUGAACAAAAGGGGGCUGAUCUGGUGAAUGCUGAUUGGGGACAGGGUGCCAUUCCAUCAAAGACACCCACAGAGCCAUGAGAAUGUUACUGUGGAACUGCUGGGAUUGGGAAAAUUUCUGGUAGUUCACAACAUAAAAGAGAUUCAGAAAUCUAAUUCUUCCGAGGUUAUGUUCUUGUGUGAAACCAAACAUCAAACCUCGUUUUUGGAGGAAAGAUUGAGAAGGUGAAGGUUUAAUGAGUAUGAUUGUAUUGAUCCUAUUGGGUUAUCCAAGGGUUUGGCGUUGGCAUGGAAGGAAAGAUGCAGGUGGAGGUCAAAAGUAAAGUAGAUUUCUACAUUUAUUUUACAAUAGAAGAGCAGGAGAAUCAAACAGUCUAAAAAGUGCUAGGUGUUCAUUUUCAUAACUCAGAUAGGAUCUGGUCCAGUCAAUAUGAGGAGAUUUUUCAGCUGAUUUCACAACUAGGAAAAAGAUACUUAGCUAUUGGGGAUUAUAACGCUAUCAUGGCAGCACAUGAGAAAGAGGAGGGGGGAGAGGGAGAGAGAAAAACCAGCUUAGUCAAUUGAGAAUUUCAUCAAUUUCUAUAGUGAAGAAAACUUGAUGACAUGGGUUACAUAUGGGAGAAAUUCACAUGGUGGAAUCGGAGUUGUAAAGAGAGAUUAGUUAGAAAAAGGUUAGACUGGGCUCUAAUAUCUCCCAAAACCCGACAUGAAUACCCUAUGACGACUGUUACACAUAUGGAAGACAAGGGCUCUGAUCAUCGACCUCUGCUCCUCUCUACUAAUUCAGCACAUACAAAAUGUAAGAGAAGGUUCCGAUUUCAAAAAAGGUGGUGUGGGGUAAAAUCAGUUGAUAGAAUAGUUAAGGACACUUAGGCAAUGACAUUUGAAGGUACUAUUAUCUUUCAAUUGUUCCAAAAAUUAAAAAAAUGCAGGUCGGAGCUAGUCUCUUGGCAAGCAACUGGUGCUGGAAAUGCUAGGAAGGCCAUGGAAAGAAUUGAAAACAGGUUGGAGAUGCUGAAAAGUUCAUCGAGGACAGCAGACAAAGAAGAAAUAUUAGUGCUGAAAGAGGAUUUAACUGAUGCUUAUCUUCAAGAGGAACGCUUCUGGAAGGAAAAAUCACGAGUGAGUUGGUUGAAAUGGGGUGAUCAAAAUACCCCCUUUCUUUCACUCAAAAAACCAGCAGCGGAAUAGGAAGAAUAAAAUAUGGCAACUUGAAGAUGAAGAAGGUAAUUAGUGUACUACAUCCGAGGCCAUUGGAGAGAGAGCUAAACGGUAUUUUAAGGAGCUCUUCACGAUGGUUCUAUCACGGGACCCAUCAGAUGAGUUCGGAGCGCUUAAAAGAAAGGUUUCAGCCACCACCAAUCAGAAUUGGGCAAAACUGAUGCUGAUUGGGCCAAUGACAUUGAGAAUCGUCACUCAACUAGUGGUUAUUGCGUUCUUCUUGUAAACAAUCCAGUUUUUUGGUGCAGCAGAAAAACAAAUUGCUGUAAGCUGAAUUUAGAUGCUUGGCACUAUGGCAGAUGCAGAAGCAGAAGUUUUAUGGAUUCAAAAAUUGCUGACUGAGCUAGGAAUCUCUCAACCAGUAGCUCCCACUAUUUUCUGUGACAAUUUGAGUUCUAUCAUGGUUUUUGCCAAACGUAAUUCUUCAUAACCAAAGCAAGCAUUUCAAAAUUGACCUGCAUUAUGUCCAAGAUCGAGUACACAAAGGACAGUUGCAUGUUGUUUAUAUACCAGCAGAUUCAUAAAUAGCUGACAUUUUAACCAAGUCCCUCUCCUAUAUUCUAUUUUACAAUUUCAGAUUCAAACUCAGAGUAGUUCCUCAAAUCACCCUAAGUUUGAGAGAGAGAAGGGGGGGGGGAGGUGUUAAGCAUCACAAUAAACUAGACAAAACGAAAUGUGGUUAGACAUAAUUCAAGAAAAUCAAGAAAGCCAAGUCUCAAGUUAUUAUACAAUUCAAUUAUAUUGUUAGGUGCUUUCUUGAGGAUUAAGGCCUCCAAAACUCAUGUAUAAAUAUGCUUGCUCACACACUGCAAGUUAGAAAAGAUAGAUAGAUAUUUCAAUUCUAAUUACUGCAUCUCUGAUUAUCUCAAUAUAUACAAAGUACUCUUCUCUA